AUUGAACGCUGGCGGCAGGCCUAACACAUGCAAGUCGAGCGGAGCGGCUGACGGGUGGGUAAUGCCUAUGUAUGUGACUGGUCGUUGGGGAUAACUUCCGGAAACGGGCGCUAAUACAGACUACUUUCCAUUGAACCUAGGCGGGAUUAGCUAGUUGGUGGGGUAAAGGCCUACCAAGGCGACGAUCCGUAACUGGUCUGAGAGGAUGACCAGUCACACUGGAACUGAGACACGGUCCAGACUCCUACGGGAGGCAGCAGUGGGGAAUAUUGGACAAUGGGCGAAAGCCUGAUCCAGCCAUGCCGCGUGUGUGAAGAAGGUCUUCGGAUUGUAAAGCACUUUAAGUUGGGAGGCGUUACCAACAGAAUAAGCACCGGCUAACUUCGUGCCAGCAGCCGCGGUAAUAC
This 407-nucleotide ribosomal RNA is filed under the name uncultured bacterium. RNAcentral describes it as "partial 16S ribosomal RNA". It matches the Rfam family "Bacterial small subunit ribosomal RNA", at positions 30 to 526 of the family's 1533-position model. The record is from RNAcentral.